RNAcentral lists this non-coding RNA (48 nucleotides) under Schistosoma mansoni. Lineage: Eukaryota; Metazoa; Platyhelminthes; Trematoda; Strigeidida; Schistosomatidae. The record is from RNAcentral.
AUCCAGCUGACGAGUCUGGAAUAGAACGAGACGCGCGUCAAACUGGAU